GAACGAGGGAGAGACGUUCUUUCCACAGCUGAGCUGACUGGCGCAUGCAGGCGGGCUGCCGCUCCAGCUCUCUCUGCCAAGACAGCUAUCUUUCACAGAGCUGUCAGCGGUGUGACUGGCAGCCUGUCACUGGCUCUGCACACCUCCUUCUCCCUCUGCCUUCCCUCCGCCUCGGGUUGAACCUACCACAAGACUCGGGGAGAGCAGACAUGCCGUCUGUGCCACAGUGCCACGCCCAAGGGAUAUCAGCUGCGGAUGGUACUGUGACAUCUUCUACGAUUUGAUGCGUGUCGUCAGUCAUGACCCGUCAAAAAGGAUCUCAUGGAGAAGAGGUUGGCUAGCAUGGUCGACAGGCCCUGGGCCAGACAGCUCUGG
This is a long non-coding RNA of Micropterus salmoides (largemouth bass), 375 nucleotides long. RefSeq lists it as uncharacterized. Lineage: Eukaryota; Metazoa; Chordata; Actinopteri; Centrarchiformes; Centrarchidae. The transcript has 3 exons. The record is from RefSeq and is a predicted model, not a curated record.